GAGGUGGGCAAGUUAGUUGCUCCAAAUACAAGAUAAAGUGAUUGAGUUCUUUUCUCAAGCGGGAGUCGGAGUUUAUCCACUCUUAGAGCCCCAGCAGCUACUAUUAAUGAGUGUCUGGAAUAUGUUCCUGGCAUUUCACCUACACUCUCUCCAAUCCUUCCAAGAAACUCACAAAGCAGGGCUUUUUCUUGAACUUCUCUUCCUCACAACAGUUAAAUCAUCCAUUUAAAGAUGUCAGACAAGCUCUGUGUUCUAAGAUGCUGGACCCCUGAAUAUGGAGGGCCAACUACACUAGAAACACACAUGCUAGCUGGGAAAGAUGCUGGCUUAAGGGACACAGCAUGUACAACCUCACAUAGAGUUCCUGACCAGACAAGACUCGCUGGAAAUUUCCCAGGAUCUUCCUUCCUUAAGCAUCCAUCAUGGGAAGCCACCUUGCCCUAGGGAGAGCUCCUGACCUAGGGUGGUUAGAAAAUAUUAAGGAAGACAGCAAUUAAUAAAUUCAAAAAUAAUAAUAAUUACAAAUUAUGUCUGUGUGUUAGGAAAACUUGGAUAAGCAGGUCCAUAGAAAUUCCUCUGCUAGCCCUGUCUCCUGGCAUUUCUACAUAAUAGCAUAUCCUCAGUUUGAAUAGCUCUCUGGUUCCAGUUUGAAGCUGAAAAGGUUAAAUUCUACCUGAAGGAUGAAAACAACCAACAUCUGUGCCA
RNAcentral lists this non-coding RNA (705 nucleotides) under Pongo abelii (Sumatran orangutan). Lineage: Eukaryota; Metazoa; Chordata; Mammalia; Primates; Hominidae. The record is from RNAcentral.